UACGUAGGGGGCAAGCGUUGUCCGGAUUUAUUGGGCGUAAAGCGCUCGCAGGUGGUUCGUCGCGUCGUGCGUGAAAGACCCCGGCUCAACUGGGGGAGGUCGUGCGAUACGGGCGGACUGGAGGCCAGUAGGGGGAUGCGGAAUUCCGGGUGUAGUGGUGGAAUGCGUAGAGAUGUGGAGGAAUACCGAUGGCGAAGGCAGCCCCCUGGGAUAACACUGACGCUCAUGCACGAAAGCGUGGGGAGCAAACAGG
Molecule: ribosomal RNA, 253 nt
Filed under: uncultured bacterium
Lineage: Bacteria
Description: partial 16S ribosomal RNA
Rfam family: Bacterial small subunit ribosomal RNA
Source: RNAcentral